Molecule: non-coding RNA, 30 nt
Filed under: Rattus norvegicus (Norway rat)
Lineage: Eukaryota; Metazoa; Chordata; Mammalia; Rodentia; Muridae
Source: RNAcentral
UCCUCCAUGAAGCCUGGUUUAGGAUAACAC